Molecule: ribosomal RNA, 254 nt
Filed under: uncultured bacterium
Lineage: Bacteria
Description: partial 16S ribosomal RNA
Rfam family: Bacterial small subunit ribosomal RNA
Source: RNAcentral
UACAGAGGUCUCAAGCGUUGUUCGGAUUCAUUGGGCGUAAAGGGUGCGUAGGCGGCGCGGUAAGUCGGAUGUGAAAUCUCCAGGCUCAACCUGGAGGGGUCAUUCGAUACUGCCGUGACUAGAGGUCGGUAGGGGAGUGUGGAAUUCCUGGUGGAGCGGUGAAAUGCGCAGAUAUCAGGAGGAACACCCGUAGCGAAGGCGGCACUCUGGGCCGAUACUGACACUGAGGAGCGAAAGCGUGGGGAGCGAACAGG